This is a long non-coding RNA of Eucalyptus grandis, 1451 nucleotides long. RefSeq lists it as uncharacterized. The transcript is spliced from 3 exons. NCBI's taxonomy places the organism in Eukaryota, Viridiplantae, Streptophyta, Magnoliopsida, Myrtales, Myrtaceae. The record is from RefSeq and is a predicted model, not a curated record.
GCGAUCGGAAGAAGCAGAAGGCAGGCUCGACUAAAAGGAGAGCUGCAUAGCAGAGGGCGACCUGAAGGAGCACAUGAAGAUGGCAACUUGCAUGAAUUUGAUGGCGUGGUUGAUCACGAUGAUCGGGGCGGGAUUCAUGGAGGUCGACACGGUGGCGGCAGCGACAUACAUGGUCAGAGAUAGAUUGGGGUGGACCGUCCCCUCCAAUGUAUCCUAUUACCAGUCUUGGGCUGCCUCCAAGACUUUCAUGGUUGGCGACAAGCUAUCUUUCAAUUGGACGGGGACGCACAAUGUGACCGAAGUAUCAAAGGCCGAGUACGACAACUGCACCCAGGUCGUAUCCGUUCUGGGCAGUCCGGUGGAAAUCCAGCUUUCCGAUGUUCCGAUUCGAUUACCGGUACCGGAACCGAGGAAGCUAAGGUUUUUUUAUUCGUGACGAUGCUGGCGGUUGAAUUCGAUCCGUUGGCCUCAGGCGUGCUUGGAUUCUGGCUUUUUCUACGUGAUCAAUCACGGAAUCAGCCAGGAUUUAAUGGAGGAGGUCUUCGUCCAGAGCAGGUGGUUCUUUGGCUUGCCCUUGAGCGAGAAGAUGAAGCUGUUGGGGAACGAGAAGCACAGAGGCCGCACUCCUCUGUUGGAUGAGGUCCUCGAUGCUGGGAAUCAGAUUCAGAGUUUGUGUCAGAUGUAUUCAUUUGUUCCGUUUUUUGUUGUCAGAUUACUGAAGAUUUUGCUGCUUAUAGUGGAUUUAGAUGAACAGCUGAUGAUUUUGAUAGCUUCCUGUAAUCAGCUGGUGGCUGGUGGUUGAGUAGCAGCUCUUAGAAAAGGAAGAUGCAAUUAGUUAGUUAUUAUUCCUGGUUGUAAUUCUAUUCUGGGAGGAGCGAGGAUACUUCACCAGAGCUGACACAGAAAUAGGAGCGAGUUAUUUGAAGUGCUAACACAAAACCAUGAGCAAUACAACAAGGAUUUAGAUGAAACUUGUUAUUAUUUCUAUGGUUAUCAUUUUCUGAAGAUCAGUCGAGUAGCAAUGAUUCCGUGGACGUUUUAUAGGAGAUUAUAGGGAGGGAUACUACAUAGGAGCGGAAGUACCAGAGGAUGAUCCUGAUGCACAGAAGCCUCAUUUUGGACCAAACCUCUGGCCUUCUGAGGAAAUGUGGCGAAAGUAGUUGCAAGGAUCAUUGCUCUAGCACUUGAUCUGGAGGCUGAUUUUUUUUACAUGCCAGAAAUACUCAGCAAGCCUAUUCCGAUCUUGCGCUUGUUGCACUAUGAAGGUAGAUUUUAUUUCAAUGAACUACAAAAUAAAGCCGACAAUUCUUUCUUCUCAUCCUCUUGAUAUUCCUUUAGGUCUAAUCUCAGAUCCCUCUAAAGGGAUAUAUGGAGCUGGGGCACAUUCGGACUUUGGGUUUAUUACCUUGUUAGCAACAAAUGAUGUCCCGGGUCUCCAAGUAUGAAUAUUC